RNAcentral lists this non-coding RNA (31 nucleotides) under Rattus norvegicus (Norway rat). The record is from RNAcentral. Lineage: Eukaryota; Metazoa; Chordata; Mammalia; Rodentia; Muridae.
UACCGCACAGCAUAACGAUAUCCUCAUACCU